RNAcentral lists this ribosomal RNA (1377 nucleotides) under uncultured bacterium. RNAcentral's name for it is "16S ribosomal RNA". It matches the Rfam family "Bacterial small subunit ribosomal RNA". The record is from RNAcentral.
GAUUUUGGCUCAGGAUGAACGCUAGCUACAGGCUUAACACAUGCAAGUCGAGCGGUAUGUGCUUUAGUGCAUACAGCGGCAGACGGGUGAGUAACACGUAUCUAACCUUCCCCUUACUUGGGCAUAGCCUCUGGAAACGGAGAUUAAUUUCCGAUGUGGUGUACAUUUCGCAUGUUUUGCGCACCAAAGAUUUAUCGGUAAGGGAUGGGGAUGCGCUCCAUUAGGUUGUAGGUAGGGUAAUGGCCUACCUAGCCAAUGAUGUCUAGGGGUUUUGAGAGGAAGGCCCCCCACACUGGGACUGAGACACGGCCCAGACUCCUACGGGAGGCAGCAGUGAGGAAUAUUGGACAAUGGAUGGAAAUCUGAUCCAGCCAUGCCGCGUGCAGGAAGACGGCCUUAUGGGUUGUAAACUGCUUUUAUACGGGAGCAAUAAGGGUUACGAGUAAUCCGAUGAGAGUACUGUAUGAAUAAGGAUCGGCUAACUCCGUGCCAGCAGCCGCGGUAAUACGGAGGAUCCGAGCGUUAUCCGGAAUUAUUGGGUUUAAAGGGUGCGUAGGCGGCCAUUUAAGUCAGCGGUGAAAUUUUGCAGCUUAACUGUAACAGUGCCGUUGAUACUGUUUGGCUAGGAUUUGGUUGUAGUGUGCGGAAUGUGUGGUGUAGCGGUGAAAUGCUUAGAUAUCACACAGAACACCGAUUGCGAAGGCAGCACACUAAGUCAUUAUUGACGCUGAGGCACGAAAGUGUGGGGAUCAAACAGGAUUAGAUACCCUGGUAGUCCACACUGUAAACGAUGAUAACUCGCUGUCGGCGAUACACAGUCGGUGGCCAAGCGAAAGCAUUAAGUUAUCCACCUGGGGAGUACGACCGCAAGGUUGAAACUCAAAGGAAUUGACGGGGGCCCGCACAAGCGGAGGAACAUGUGGUUUAAUUCGAUGAUACGCGAGGAACCUUACCCGGGCUCGAACGGUGCAUGAAUAUACGAGAGAUUGUAUAGUCCUUCGGGACAUGUAUCGAGGUGCUGCAUGGUUGUCGUCAGCUCGUGCCGUGAGGUGUCGGCUUAAGUGCCAUAACGAGCGCAACCCUUGUCAUUAGUUGCCAUCAGGUCAAGCUGGGGACUUUAAUGAGACUGCCACCGUAAGGUGUGAGGAAGGGGGGGAUGACGUCAAAUCAGCACGGCCCUUAUGUCCGGGGCGACACACGUGUUACAAUGGGAGGUACAGAGGGCAGCUAUCCGGUGACGGAAUGCUGAUCUCCAAAACCUUUCUCAGUUCGGAUUGGAGUCUGCAACUCGACUCCAUGAAGGUGGAUUCGCUAGUAAUCGCGCAUCAGCCAUGGCGCGGUGAAUAAAAUCCCGGGCCUUGUACACACCGCCCGUCA